AAAAAAAAAAAAAAAAAUCCCACCGAAGCACAGCACAGUAACAUCGUUUCUUUCUCUCUUCUUCUCAUUUCUGAUAUCUCUUCUUCUUCACGCUCACACAUCCACACGAUACCGCUCCACCACCAACCACCACCGUCCUUCCUCCGGCGACGAACUUCCGGCGAGCUCUCCAGAGCUACGGGCUUAGCCCAAUAUCAACAUCACUGAAAAUGAAGGUAUUGAGUUUAUUGGCUUAGUACAAAGCACAUGUGAUUUGGUCAGCAAAAAUGUCCCUUCUAAGUAGGUUCUUUUACAGAAGACCCCCAGAUGGCUUGCUUGAAUUUGUUGACAGAGUAUAUGUUUUUGAUUCGUGUUUUUCCACUGAAGUCUUGCCUGAUGGAAUGUACCAAAUAUACUUGCAUGAAAUCAUAACUGAGUUACACGAGGAAUUCCCAGGCUCAUCAUAUCUAGCUCAUAUAAUUCCGUUUGAGAUGCAAUUUUAUUUUAAUAAUUCGAUAGUUACAAUGAGAAAGUAGAAUUAAUGAUCAAGAAGUAUCAAUCUAUUGAGCUA
Molecule: long non-coding RNA, 550 nt
Organism: Quercus lobata
Lineage: Eukaryota; Viridiplantae; Streptophyta; Magnoliopsida; Fagales; Fagaceae
Exons: 3
Source: RefSeq, a predicted model, not a curated record